RNAcentral lists this small RNA (148 nucleotides) under Pongo abelii (Sumatran orangutan). RNAcentral describes it as "Metazoan signal recognition particle RNA (ENSPPYG00000037045.1)". It matches the Rfam family "Metazoan signal recognition particle RNA". From Rfam's summary of the family: The signal recognition particle (SRP) is a universally conserved ribonucleoprotein. The record is from Rfam by way of RNAcentral. Lineage: Eukaryota; Metazoa; Chordata; Mammalia; Primates; Hominidae.
GCCAGGUGUGGUGGCGCAUGCCUGUAAUCCCAGCUACUCAGGAGGCUGAGGCAGGAGAAUCGCUUGAACCUGGGAGGCAGAGGUUGCAGUGAGCUGAGAUCGUGCCACUGCACUCCAGCCUAGGUGACAGAGUGAGACUCUGUCUCAA